GGAAGCCGAAAGGUGACCGGACCCUUCGGGGAGCUUGCACAGGUGCUGCAUGGCUGUCGUCAGCUCGUGUCGUGAGAUGUUCGGUUAAGUCCGCUAACGAGCGCAACCCUCGCUGUGUGUUAUAUGUGUCACACGGGACUGCCGGUCUUAAGCCGGAGGAAGGUGGGGAUGAUGUCAAGUCAGCAUGGCCUUUAUAUCCUGGGCUACACACACGCUACAAUGGCCAACACAAUAGGUUGCUAAGCCGCGAGGUGGCGCCAAUCCAUAAAGUUGGUCUCAGUUCAGAUUGUAGGCUGCAACCCGCCUGCAUGAAGAUGGAGUUGCUAGUAACCGCAGGUCAGCUAUACUGCGGUGAAUACGUUCCCGGGGCUU
RNAcentral lists this ribosomal RNA (372 nucleotides) under uncultured Leptolinea sp. RNAcentral's name for it is "bacterial SSU rRNA". It matches the Rfam family "Bacterial small subunit ribosomal RNA", at positions 996 to 1382 of the family's 1533-position model. The record is from RNAcentral. Lineage: Bacteria; Bacillati; Chloroflexota; Anaerolineae; Anaerolineales; Anaerolineaceae.